UACGGAGGGGGUUAGCGUUGUUCGGAUUUACUGGGCGUAAAGCGCGCGUAGGCGGAUCGGAAAGUUGGGGGUGAAAUCCCGGGGCUCAACCCCGGAAUUGCCUUCAAAACUCCUGGUCUUGAGUUCGAGAGAGGUGAGUGGAAUUCCGAGUGUAGAGGUGAAAUUCGUAGAUAUUCGGAGGAACACCAGUGGCGAAGGCGGCUCACUGGCUCGAUACUGACGCUGAGGUGCGAAAGCGUGGGGAGCAAACAGG
Molecule: ribosomal RNA, 253 nt
Filed under: uncultured bacterium
Lineage: Bacteria
Description: partial 16S ribosomal RNA
Rfam family: Bacterial small subunit ribosomal RNA
Source: RNAcentral